UUGCUGCAGUGAGGAAUCUUGGGCAAUGGACGAAAGUCUGACGGAGCAACGCCGCGUGAGUGAUGAAGGUUUUCGGAUCGUAAAUUGCUGCAGUGGGGAAUAUUGGGCAAUGGGUGAAAGCCUGAUCCAGCAAUAUAGUUAGAGUGAAAAGCAAAAACAUAAAACUCUAAAGAAAAGUAAAAUAAUGAUAUGACUUUUCUAAUAAUCCUGACUAAUUUCGUGCCAGCAGUCGCGGUAAUACGAAAAGGAUAAGCGUAAUUCAUAUUAUCUAGGUGUAAAGGGUCAGUAGGCGGCAAAUAAAGCUAGAGUGUAAAAGAAGAAAGAGGAAUUAAAGAUGGAGGGAUGAAAUCCUUAGAUAUAUUUAGGAACAACAAUGGCGAAGGCAUCUUUCUAAUAAACACUGACGCUAAUAGACUAAAGUGUGGGUAGCGAAAAGGAUUAGAUACCCGAUUAGUCCACCAA
RNAcentral lists this ribosomal RNA (462 nucleotides) under Microconidiobolus nodosus. RNAcentral's name for it is "Conidiobolus nodosus partial small subunit ribosomal RNA". It matches the Rfam family "Bacterial small subunit ribosomal RNA", at positions 346 to 802 of the family's 1533-position model. The record is from RNAcentral. Lineage: Eukaryota; Fungi; Entomophthoromycota; Entomophthoromycetes; Entomophthorales; Conidiobolaceae.